AGCGAACGCUGGCGGCAGGCCUAACACAUGCAAGUCGAGCGCCCCGCAAGGGGAGCGGCAGACGGGAGAGUAACACGUGGGAACGUGCCCUUUGGUUCGGAACAACCCAGGGAAACUUGGGCUGAUAACGGACAAGCCCUCACGGGGAAAGAUUUAUCGCCGAAGGAUCGGCCCGCGUCUGAUUAGCUAGUUGGUGGGAUAAUGGCCCACCAAGGCGACGAUCAGUAGCUGGUCUGAGAGGAUGAUCAGCCUCACUGGGACUGAGACACGGCCCAGACUCCUACGGGAGGCAGCAGUGGGGAAUAUUGGACAAUGGGCGCAAGCCUGAUCCAGCCAUGCCGCGUGGGUGAUGAAGGCCCUAGGGUUGUAAAGCCCUUUCGGCGGGGAAGAUAAUGACGGUACCCGCAGAAGAAGCCCCGGCUAACUUCGUGCCAGCAGCCGCCGUAA
This 447-nucleotide ribosomal RNA is filed under the name uncultured bacterium. RNAcentral's name for it is "partial 16S ribosomal RNA". It matches the Rfam family "Bacterial small subunit ribosomal RNA", at positions 29 to 523 of the family's 1533-position model. The record is from RNAcentral.